This 1248-nucleotide long non-coding RNA is filed under the name Mus musculus (house mouse). RNAcentral's name for it is "long non-coding RNA chr2:130994300-130995548". Lineage: Eukaryota; Metazoa; Chordata; Mammalia; Rodentia; Muridae. The record is from RNAcentral.
AUUGUUGCCCUUCACUCCCAGGGUCUUUGAGUGGACUAGUGUGGAGGUUUACCUUUUUUCCUUCAGACAGGUUAUCUCAGUUACUUUAAUAUUGCUCUGAUAAAACAUAUGACCAAGGCAACUUACAAAAUAAAGCCUUUAAUUGGGCUUAUGACUUAAGAGCAUUGGAGUCUACAUUGAGUUCCAGGGCAAUAGAGCUACAUAGUAAGACUGUAUCAAUCAAUCAAUAAAUAGGACUACAUAGUAAGACUGUAUCAAUCAAUCAGUAGAUGAAGAGAAAGAAAGAAAGAAAGAAAGAAAGAAAGAAAGAAAGAAAGAAAGGAAGGAAGGAAGGAAGGAAGGAAGGAAGGAAGGAAGGGGAAGAACAAAACAAGCUUAGAUAGGAAGAACAGGAUAGAAUGAAUGACAAAUGCUUGAAAAAUGUUUUAGCUGUACUUUUAGAAGCAUACUCAAUCCACACAGAAGUAAAAAUGUUGUUCCUUAUGAGUAGUACCUAGCAUUAUUACAUAUGUACUUGCCUGUGUCCUUGGGCAAGUAUUUGUUUAUUUGUUGUUUUUAUACUGUUGCUGGUGUAAAUUACUGAGCAGUUAGCAGAAACAUUCCUGCAAAUGGGAUAGUCUCUCUGAUCUGAAUAAUGAUAUAGUUUAUGUAAAAGGAUUUACUUGGUUUAAAAAUAAAUAUAGAGUCUGUGCUUUAAAUGUCAAUAGAAGAUAAUUUCUUUUUUCCCUAGAUGUGAGGUAGAAAAUCGAUACCAGGGAAACCCUCUCAAAGGAACAUGCUACUGUAAGUUUUUGUAAUUGUUUCUAGAGAGUAAUUGAACAAAACGACAUUGCUUUUUUUUUUUACCAUUGUCUGAGAAUGAUAAAUGCUUGGGGGAUGAAGCAAAUACUCAUAGCCAUGCCCCUGACUUGGUGAACACUGUUCUAACUGAGGCAUGGUCUCUGCUGGUCAUCCAGAGCAGUUAGCAGGGGUGCUGUCCUGCCUGUCCUUGUUCAGCUCCCGCGGAGGCGUGCUCAUUCACCAUUGCCCAGUGUAGCUUAUCAUGUCCAAUCUUCAGACAGCCAGGAAGGAGUUUCUAAGAUAGAGGUGCGUUCCACCAUUCUCUCUGCAGCUGAUUUGUGCUCACAAACAAGUAAAUAAAACACCAAAUUAAUACCUUGGUGUGAAAGUGAAUCUGGUAAGCUUACAGCUUUAUCAUAAAUAUAUUUUUUGUCUAUGAGAAUCUACAUAGUAGGUUCUAGACUAUAG